AAGUGGAGUUGGUGUGGAGAUCUGGGAGUGUGAACUCAGGAUGAAGAUCCUCCUCAUCUUCACCCUCUGUCUGAUCUCAGAUGGAGGAGCCUCCAAGAACGUAACAGGAUAUUCACGAGGAGGAGUGCUUAUCAAGUGCAAGUAUGAUACAGAAUACACACCAAACAAAAAAUAUUUCUGUAAGGGUUCAUGGCCAGGCUGUUCUGACCAAAUAAAGACAGGAGCUAAAAACGAGUGGAUAAAUUCAGGAAGAUUCUCACUGUUUGAUGACACCAAAUCAGCAGAGUUCAGUGUGAAGAUCAGAGAGCUCACUGUAGAGGACACUGGGACAUACCAGUGUGGAGUUAAUAAAGAUUUAUGGAAAGACAUUUACACACCGGUGGAACUGAAGGUGAAGGAAGGGGGCUCGGUCUCUAGAGAAGUGAGUGCAUAUGCAGGGGGAGGAAUCAACAUCAAGUGCAGAUAUGAGGAUGAAUAUAAAGACAAACCCAAAUCUUUCUGUAAGAUGGGAACACAUCAGUGGUGUUUUUAAUC
Molecule: long non-coding RNA, 534 nt
Organism: Ictalurus punctatus (channel catfish)
Lineage: Eukaryota; Metazoa; Chordata; Actinopteri; Siluriformes; Ictaluridae
Source: Ensembl